Molecule: long non-coding RNA, 8305 nt
Filed under: Homo sapiens (human)
Lineage: Eukaryota; Metazoa; Chordata; Mammalia; Primates; Hominidae
Description: non-protein coding lnc-EFEMP1-3:14
Source: RNAcentral
ACCUGGCCCGCGCUCACCUUGAGGCCGCGGAUCUCGCCGAGGUGCAGCUGCAGGCGGCGGUUCACCUCGCGGAUGAGGUUGCUGUGGUCCAGCAUCGCGCUCACCUUCUCCGCCUCGGCGCGCCGCAGGCUGCGGAUCAGCUCCUCCUUGCUCCACUGCAGCAGCUCCUCGUCCGACACUUUGGACAGGUCCUCCACCGGCGCGGGCGGGGCCGCGGACGAGCCGGCCGGGGCUGGGGAACAACUUUCCGCCGCCGCCGCAGCCGCCGCCGCGCCUCCGGCCGCCUUCGACAUGGUAUCCGCGGGGUGGCAGGUGCAAGUGGGUGGAAGAGGCGAGGCGACUCCCGAAGGCGCGGGCGCGGCGAGGCCGCCUCCGCCCACACCCCUGUGCGCUCCGGCGAGUCAGCGGCACCGCCCAGGGGCCGCUGGGUUGGGGCGGCGGGGGUCGCGCUGGGUGGCCAUCCUACCUCGCCAUCCCCGCGCGCGCGCCCGCGCUCCCCCAGGGCCCGGCAGCCAGCCGCUUGCUGCUGCCGAGGCCCGUCCCAACUCCGCGCAAGUCCAUGGUGAGGGGCACUGGGGAGCCCGGGGCUGCCGCGGGAAAUCCUCGGGGACAGCGGGGGAGCUGCACCGCCGUUCCCCUGCCCUCUCCUCCGCCCUAAGCCGAGACUGUCGCCCCCCGCACUCUCUGCCCUGCACACAGGCGUGCACGCACACGCACUUUCCUCCCCCUUGCCCAGCUGCAGCCCCCGGCUUCUCCCCUCUCCUAGCUUGGAGGGCGCGCCGGGCACCGCGGCGCCUCCCCGGCUGCUCUAGCGACGCCGCCGCGGCUGCCCGAAGGCUGCUGCGCUCCUCCUGCCGCCUUCGCUGCGCCCGCGGCCGCUCCUAGGCUGCUCCGGAAAGCCUUCGAUUUGCAGAGCGGAGUCGAGAAGGGGUGGAGGGUGGGGGACCGGCUGGAGGAGGAGCCUGGAGCUGGGGCCACCCGUAACCCGCAGCAGCUCCCGCAUGGGCUGGACGCAGCUGCCACUCGACCGCUGCCCGGGCCCUCGAGGUGCGCUCCCGGCUGUCCUGCCCGGGAGGGCUGGGGGCGCGGCUCUUUCUGCGCCCGGGCGGGUGGGGCUGGAAUGGGGAGAAGGUGAGGAGCUGUGGCCGCCCGGUCUUUGGGAGGCUCGCGCGCGCCACCGUGUGGCGGAAGAAGCUCCCUCCUCUGCCCUCUGCACACCGGCCUUGUCACCAGGCAGGGGAAACAGCUGCUGACCCAAAUGCGAGGUGCUUCGUAUUUGGAGGGAUCGGGGAUCAGGAAAGAUGGGGUAGCAGGACCUGAGGGAUAACCAGUUAUUUGCACUUUGGAGAAUGGGAGGAGAGGCAAAUGGCAAAAACGGGGGUUGGGGAAAGGGGCAGCUUAAGAAAAUCCAAAUGGUCUGAAAAGGGCGAAAAGAGGCGUCAGGGCACUGCUCUUAUGGGGCUACCCAUCCCCACCCCCCACUCUCGCCCCACCCCUAGGCCUUUGUGUUUUCUAAAAAUCCACUACUCUAUGAAGAAGCUUCGGGAGAAGGUACUGGAUCUUUUAAAUUUUUAUUUGAAAAAUAUCAAAGCCUUUAGGCGAAAAUAAAAUACCUUCAUCUCCUGCUUCCUGAAACCUGGAUUUUAAGGUCAGCACAGUCACCUCCCCUCGGAGCAAAGCAAGCCCCCUCAGGCAAGCUGAAAUGCCAGCCAAGGAGAUUUCCAUUUUCUUCUAUGCCGCAGGCUGCCAGGCGUUUACUGGGUCGGCUUUUUUAUGAUGGUUAUUUCUGGAAGGAGGAAGUCUGAGUCCCUGGCUUCUAUCUUUGGGCUAUCCUCUUGUAAAGUUGGGUGGAAUCGUCUCUGGGCUGAAAACAUGCUUUUGCCUAAAGAGGUGGAUGCCCUUGACCACCGCAUGUUAUUUCCAGUGGGGUACAGGGCCGGAAAAUGGCAAGGAUCUACCCCCACCGGGUUUCAGUUAACCCGGGUGCAGAGGGAAUAAUCUCUAUCUGGUAGGAUGAUAAUCAAAAUCAGUCCCUUCACCCGCCGGUCAGUGCGUGUCCCCUAUUGGGGACACUGAGACCUGGCUCCCGGGAGAGGCAAGGAAAUGUGGUACUGCUUACGGUGACCAAAUGGCCUUAACAUUCCCCUCAGCUUAACUAAACUUUAGACAGGUUUCUUCCUAACUGUAGGCCCCAGACCUUCCUUUUCUCAGAGCAUUUACUUUAGCCAACUUCCAUUGGUGAAUGUUUCCUCUGACCCUUUGACAUGUAAAUCUCUCCGCCUCUUGCUGGGUUUUACAGCCUGGGGAUCUUUCUCAGGGAUCUGUGAGGCAUCCCUUUGAAAUGUAAUCAUCAAGGAAAAAAGGGUCCCUAUCUCCUAGUGUUUGUGGAGAGGAGGAGCCUAACUUUAAUAAGUUCCAAUUAGGAAACACAAAUGGCCUCAUUACACUGACCAACUUCCCAUCCUAAUCUCCUCCACUAGUCUUCUACUAGUUCCCCUCUCCCUCCCUCUCUCUCUUCCCUAUUGCAAUAGCCUUGAAUAAUUCCCCCUUGUCUGUUUAACUAUAUCGGAUGCAAUUUUUCUUUGACACCUCCAAGCCGCUCUCACGCCCACAGAAGGCUCUGCUCAACACAGUUCCUAAGACCAGUUUUGUCACAGAAAGGGAAAGUGAAGGUCAGAAAAAGAUAAGUCCUAUCUCUGUUACUUGUUAGUUCUUGUCCUUGAACAAACCAUCCGACCUUACUGGCCCUCGGGCAGCUAAUGAUAUGGUAUACAAGAAGCGCUUGAUCGAGCCACCCUACAGAAAUGCAACCUUACUAUUACUGAUAUUACAUAUUACAUUGGGCAGCCUCUUGUCUAGAAAUAGGAACCAGGACUUCUGUUUAUUCCUCCAUCACGGGUUCUUCAAGAGUCGUAUUCUAAAAUGAAACAGCCAGCCCCCUUCUCUGCUAACUCCCUCUGAUCAGUUAACACCAAAUAGAUAUGAGAAAUCAGAGAGAUGGCUGAGAGGAAAAAUUAGACUUGUGUUGGGAAGACAAGGAAGAAGGAAAGCCAAAAAAAAAAAAAAAGUCUCCACAAAUUAUAUACACUAGCAGUGGAUUACAGUUGAGCUAGAUCACCUUAAGGUUUUCAUGUUUCUAAUUUUGGUCAUUGAUUCAGAAUAAUAAUUAUCUGCAUGAAUGAAUAAUGUUGCUUCAUGUUGCUAAGGUCAUGUAUGGUGUCAGGAGCUUCAUUUGACUGCUAAAAACAGAAACUCAAAAAACAGUCACUUUAAAAAAGUCAUUUAUUUUUUCUCACCUACCUGGUAUUCUAAAGAGAGGCAGCUGAGGGCUGGUAUGGUAUCUUCAUGAGGUCGUCAAAAUCUUAGGCUCCUUCUCUCAGCUCAGUCCCCUUUGGGAUGAUUGCCUCGUGUCCAUAACAUGGUUGGUGGAACUCUAGCCAUCCAGCUACGUGUAAGGCAGGAAGAAGGUAAUAACAACUGCAAAGGGGCACAUGCCCCUUUAAAAACUUUUCCUGGUGGCCGGGGGCGGUGGCUCAUAACUGUAAUCCCAGCACUUUGGGCGUCCGAUGCAGGUGGAUCAUUUGAGGUCAGGAAUUCAAGACCAGCCUGGCCAAUAUGGUGAAACCCCAUCUUUACUAAAAAUACAAAAAUUAGCUGGGCAUGGUGGUGCGUGCCUAUAAUCCCAGCUAUCGGGAGGCUGAGGCAGGAGAAUCGCUUGAGCCUGGGACGCGGAGGUUGUGGUGAGCCAGGAUCGUGCCACUGCACUCCACUCUGGUCGAAAGAGUGAGACCCUGUCUCAAAAAAAAAAAAAAAAAUCCUGGUAAUUGACCCAGUGAAUUUUGUUUAUGUUCUAAUAGGCAGAGCUUACCAUAUAAUCACCUCCCAGCUGCAAGGGAAGCUAGGACAGUGUUUUAAGUUGGGUAUAUUAAAUGGAGAUUUCUGAAAACCAGCCAUAAAUGACCCUACGUCUUUAGUCCUGAUGGUUUUAUAUCAUAUAAUUUUCUUCAGUCAACUCUAUUUCCCCCCAGCUCACUGUUACUCAGCCUAGGUUCUCACUAAGUCUCACCUGGCCCUUCUCACUGGUCCCUCUGACUACUGCAUCACCUCUCUCGAAUCUGCUUUCCACACAACUUCCCAAGUGAAUCAUCUCAAAAAGUCAAGUCUAGCUACUUUACCCCUGAGACAGAUUGAAUUAUUGCUGAUAAUUUUUCACAACCUCCCUACAAAAUUAAUUAACAUCGGCCAGGUGUGGUGGCUCACGCCUGUAAUCCCAGCUCUUUGGGAGGCCAAGGCGGGUGGAUCACGAGAUCAGGAGAUCUAGACCACCCUGGAUAACACGGUGAAACCCCGUCUCUACUAAAAAUACAAAAUAUUAGCCGGGCGUGGUGUCGGGUACCUGUAGUCCCAGCUACUCGGGAGGCUGAGGUGGGAGAAUGGCGUGAACCCAGGAGGCGGAGCUUGCAGUGAGCCAAGAUAGCACCACUGCACUCCAGCCUGACGGCAUAGCGAGACUCUGUCUCAAAAAAAAAAAAAAAAAAAAAUUAACAUCACCUUCCACCAUGUGAUGUUGUAGCACCUCCCCUACAGGGGGCAGUUUUUCUCCCCUCCCUACUGGUAUUGAAAAUCAUAUUGCAAGCAUAUGACUUGCUGUACUAACGCAUGUGUGUGCACCUGACAGUGUACCCCUUCUCUGAAGAGGUCUCAAAAGGCGUCUGUCUGCCCACUCACCCGUCUGUUCUUUCCACGCUUCACCAGGAGAAGAGCUAACCUUGGGUAGCUGCUGUUCCUUCAGUCUGAGCCACACACUCAGCCACCCCAGCCAACCUGAAGAUCUGCAGCAUGAAGCAGAGCUAUGCUCACAGACUCACAGAUCUGUGUGUGAGAAAACAAGACUGUUGUUUAAGCUACCGACUUUUGGGGAGAUUUAUUGUGCAGCAUUACUAAUGCAAUAGUUAGCAGAUACAACUCCCCUGCCUAAAUCCCUUUGGGGGCAUCUCAGCACCUUUCUGUGGAGUGAAGCUACAUUUCUUAGCAGAGCAUGUAAGAUGGACACAGUCUGAUGCUUGCUUACUUUUUCAGCUCCAACUCCUACCAUACUUUGCCUGCCUCAUAUUUCAUACUUUUUCAGUUCUAAACUGCCUUGUAGCUCCCUGUCAGCAUUCAAUAUACCUCCGUACCACACUGAUGCUCUUUUCUCAUGCAUGAAAUGCCUUCCUUGCCUUAUCCUUCUGAAUAACUUCCAACCAGAUCCUUCAAAAGGCAUCAUCUUAUCCAGAGUGCUGGCAUCAGCCCACAUUUCCCUGGCAGAGGCAAAGGUACUAUGGCAGAAAUGGCCAGGGAAGGGUUUAUCUAACCACCAGGAGUACGCAAAGAAGAGAGGUCCAGCCAGCCUGCCUCUCAGAUUGUUAAGAUGCCAGGUGUCUUUUGGCUCAUGGAAACAGCUGUUCUGCCCCCUCCCGAACCCUAGACUCACAGCUACACUCUAUGGGUGGGACCAAAAUGCAAUUGCAUAUUUCUUUAUAAGCAGGAGAUUUCACAAAGAAAAGGAGAAGGCAAGAACCACAGAGGCAAAGAUUGGAGAGAUGUGGCUGCAAGUCAGGCAGUAUCUAGCUGCCACUAGAUACUGGAAGAGUCAAGGAAUGGACUCUCCCUGGAGACUCCAGAGAAAACCUAGCCCUUCUGACUCCUUGAUUGUUGCCUUAUAAGACUCAUUUCAGACUUUAGGCUGCGUAUGAGAGAAUAAAUUUCUGUUGUUUUAAGCCACAAAGUUUGUGACCACAAUAAUAAUAUAGCACCAUUUAUAACAAAGCACUAUGUUUUUAUCUGUAUUAGUAUAGUUAUCACCGUCUUUCUUACUUUAUACCUGGUGGAUACCUAUUGAUUUUCUUUUUAGAGGGCAGGGAUCUGUCUUAUUCAUGAGUGAAUACUCUGCUGCACCUGGGAACUAAAGUGUUUGCCAUAGGAGUGCAGUAAAGUUUGUUCAAAUGGAUCUGAAGCUCAGUCUCUGUGGUGCCCAUAUUCUUGUGUGCAUACAGGGAAAGGACAAAGGGAAGGCUGCUUCCUGAAGAGAUCUCCAUAUGGAAGAGCUGCAGAUCACAAACAACCCACACAGCCAUUGUAACGCCUGCUUGCCUGGUCACUUGUGUUUCUGAGAAGCCAUAACUCCAAGAAUAGCGAAGGGAAGAAAAUGCCAAAAAGCAGGGGCUGCCUAACAGGUCUGACUUGCAAGGCAAACUCCUGGCAGGCCUGGCCAGCUUCUGCUUGUCCCAGUGCAAUCCCACCCCCAUAGGAUCUGGAAUUUUUCAGUCCCUUUGCUAAGAUUCCUGAAAUAGACUUAAUGAAGAGCCUCAGAAGUGAAAAUUCCUCUUCACACAUUUGCUCAAGAAGAUUGCUUUUCUCCUAACACAGAAAUCAGCUGCCUUGAGGAUGUGCAAGUUUGAUUAGGGAGUCUGCUCUUGCCUAUUUCUCAAACGGUUCAGGCCCUGACAGAAUCAGUGUCACCCCUAAGGUAUUUGCUUCAAAUGCCCCCCAUAUAAUCAAAACUUAUAAAUGAUAAACCAAAAGUUGAGGUACACUCAUUGCCUUUCAGAAUGAAACCUUCCAAGGGGCCAUGAUCAUAUUGUGACUGGACAAGAACUAUCAUGGAUGAGGCACAUCAUCUUUUGGAACCAUCUAUGGAACAGAUAUUAUUAUUCCAUUUUGCGGAAGAGGAAUCUGAGGCUCAGGCCAGACAGAUGCAGCUAACGUUGAGUGGCAUCCUGAUGAUCACCUUCAUCACAAAAGGAAGGAGUGCUCUGAGGACUGUAGGUGGCUCUCAGAACCCUGACCUCCACGGCAGCCAUCAAGGAGUGGCAAAGGGGGUCCACAGUGGCAUAUGCAGUGAGAUCCAAGUUUUAGGCAUUCGGAGUAGAGCAAGCCACGAAUGAGAACAGGUUCUGAAAGUGACAGAAAAGGAGUCACUUUUUUGGUUCCAUAUGAACUUUAAGGUAGUUUUUUCCCAGUUCUGUGAAGAAAGUCAUUGGUAGCUUGAUGGGGAUGGCAUUGAAUCUAUAAAUUACCUUGGACAGUAUGGCCAUUUUCAUGAUAUUGAUUCUUCCUACCCAUGAGCAUGGAAUGUUCUUCCAUUUGUUUGUAUCCUCUUUUAUUUCCUUGAGCAGUGGUUUGUAGUUAUCCUUGAAGAGGUUCUUCACAUCCCUUGUAAGUUGGAUUCCUAGGUAUUUUAUUCUCUUUGAAGCAAUUGUGAAUGGGAGUUCACUCAUGAUUUGGCUCUCUGUUUGUCUGUUGUUAGUGUAUAAGAAUGCUUGUGAUUUUUGUACAUUGAUUUUGUAUCCUGAGACUUUGCUGAAGUUGCUUAUCAGCUUAAGGAGAUUUUGGGCUGAGACAAUGGGGUUUUCUAGAUAUACAAUCAUGUCAUCUGCAAACAGGGACAAUUUGACUUCCUCUUUUCCUAAUUGAAUACCCUUUAUUUCCUUGUCCUGCCUAAUUGCCCUGGCCAGAACUUCCAACACUAUGUUGAAUAGGAGUGGUGAAAGAGGACAUCCCUGUCUUGUGCCAGUUUUCACAGGGAAUGCUUCCAGUUUUUGCCCAUUCAGUAUGAUAUUGGCUGUGGGUUUGUCAUAGAUAGCUCUUAUUAUUUUGACAUACGUCCCAUCAAUACCUAAUUUAUUGAGAGUUUUUAGCAUGAAGCGUUGUUGAAUUUUGUCAAAGGCCUUUUCUGCAUCUAUUGAGAUAAUCAUGUGGUUUUUGUCUUUGGUUCUGUUUAUAUGCUGGAUUACAUUUAUUGAUUUGUGUAUAUUGAACCAGCCUUGCAUCCCAGGGAUGAAGCCCACUUGAUCAUGGUGGAUAAGCUUUUUGAUGUGCUGCUGGAUUCGGUUUGCCAGUAUUUUAUUGAGGAUUUUUGCAUCAAUGUUCAUCAGGGAUAUUGGUCGAAAAUUCUCUUUUUUGGUUGUAUCUCUGCCCGGCUUUGGUAUCAGGAUGAUGCUGGCCUCAUAAAAUGAGUUAGGGAGUAUUCCCUCUUUUUCUAUUGAUUGGAAUAUCACCAAGUCCAUCCUAAGCCAAAAGAACAAAGCUGGAGGCAUCACACUACCUGACUUCAAACUAUACUACAAGGCUACAGUAACCAAAACAGCAUGGUACUGGUACCAAAACAGAGAUAUAGAUCAAUGGAACAGAACAGAGCCCUCAGAAAUAACACCGCAUAUCUACAAUUAUCUGAUCUUUGACAAACCUGACAAAAACAAGCAAUGGGGAAAGGAUUCCCUAUUUAAUAAAUGGUGCUGGGAAAACUGGCUAGCCAUAUGUAGAA